AUACGGAGGGGGUUAGCGUUGUUCGGAAUUACUGGGCGUAAAGCGCACGUAGGCGGAUUGGAAAGUUGGGGGUGAAAUCCCAGGGCUCAACCCUGGAACUGCCUCCAAAACUAACAGUCUUGAGUUCGAGAGAGGUGAGUGGAAUUCCAAGUGUAGAGGUGAAAUUCGUAGAUAUUUGGAGGAACACCAGUGGCGAAGGCGGCUCACUGGCUCGAUACUGACGCUGAGGUGCGAAAGCGUGGGGAGCAAACAGGAUUAGAAACCCUAGUAGUCC
This 274-nucleotide ribosomal RNA is filed under the name uncultured bacterium. Its description in RNAcentral is "partial 16S ribosomal RNA". It matches the Rfam family "Bacterial small subunit ribosomal RNA", at positions 523 to 796 of the family's 1533-position model. The record is from RNAcentral.